GAUGAACGCUGGCGGCGUGCUUAACACAUGCAAGUCGAACGAUGAAGCCCAGCUUGCUGGGUGGAUUAGUUGCGAACGGGUGAGUAACACAUGAGUAACCUGCCCUUCACUCUGGGUUAAGCCUGUUCAACUGGGUCUAAUACCUGAUAGGAGCGUUCACCGCCUGGUGGGUGUUGGAAAGAUUUAGCGGUUUUGGAUAGACUCGCGGUCUAUCAGCUCUUUGGUGAGGAAAUGGCACACCAAGGGCACGACAGGUAGCCGGCCUGAGAGGGUCACCGGCGACAAUGGGACUGAGACACGGCGCAGACUCCUACGGGAGGCAGCAGGGGAGAAUAUUGCACAAUGGGGGAAAGCCUGAUGCAGCGACGCCGCGUGAGGGAUGACGGCCUUCGGGUUGUAAACCUCUUUGAGUAGGGAAGAAGCGAAAGUGACGGUACCUGCAGAAGAAGCACCGGCUAACUACGUG
This 466-nucleotide ribosomal RNA is filed under the name uncultured bacterium. RNAcentral describes it as "partial 16S ribosomal RNA". It matches the Rfam family "Bacterial small subunit ribosomal RNA", at positions 28 to 507 of the family's 1533-position model. The record is from RNAcentral.